GUUCAGGAUGAACGCUGGCGGCGUGUCUAAGGCAUGCAAGUCGAACGCAUUCUGUAGCAAUACAGGGUGAGUGGCAAACGGGUGAGUAACACAUUGGUAACCUACCUCCAACUCGGACAUAACGCGGAGAAAUCUGCGCUAAUAUCCGAUGGACUCCCAUCUCGCAAGGGUUUGGGAGUAAAGGCGCAAGUCGGUUGGAGAGGGGCCUAUGGCCUAUCAGCUAGUUGGCGGGGUAAAAGCCCACCAAGGCAACGACGGGUAGCGGGUGUGAGAGCACGACCCGCCUCACGGGCACUGAAAUACUGGCCCGACUCCUACGGGAGGCUGCAGUCAAGAAUCUUCCCCAAUGGACGAAAGUCUGAGGGAGCGACGCCGCGUGCAGGAUGGAGCUCUUCGGAGUGUAAACUGCUUUUAUCUGGGACGAACACAUGACGGUACCAGAAGAAUAAGGACCUGCUAAACUCGUGCCAGCAGCCGCGGUAAUACGAGUGGUCCAAGCGUUAUCCGGAUUUAUUGGGCGUAAAGAGUCUGUAGGCGUCCUGGUGCAUCUUCUGUUAAAUGCUGAAGCUUAACUUCAGCGCUGCGGGAGAGAUGGUCAGGAUUGAGGCCGGAAGAGGUAUGCGGAACUGUCGGUGUAGUAGUAAAAUGCGUUAAUAUCGGCAGGAACACCAAAGGCGAAAGCAGCAUACUGGUACGGAUCUGACGCUGAGAGACGAAAGCGUGGGGAGCGAAGCGGAUUAGAUACCCGCGUAGUCCACGCCGUAAACGAUGGAUACUAGACAUUGGGAGUAUCGACCCUCCCAGUGUCGUUUAUCAAAGGUAACCCCUUAAGUAUCCCGCCUGGGGAGUACGGCCGCAAGGCUAAAACUCAAAGGAAUUGACGGGAACCCGCACAAGCGGUGGAGCAUGUGGUUCAAUUCGACAAUAAGCGAGGAACCUUACCAGGGCUUGACAUGAUGCUGCAAGCGCACGGAAACGUGUGACCUUCGAGGGUGCAUCACAGGUGCUGCAUGGUUGUCGUCAGCUCGUGCCGUAAGGUGUACAGUUAAGUCUGGAAACGAGCGCAACCUCUAUUGCCAGUUAUACGUAUCUGGCGAGACUGCCCCCCACAAGGGGGAGGAAGGUGGAGAUGACGUCAAAUCAGCAUGGCUCUUACGUCCUGGGCUACACACGUGCUACAAUGGGGUGCAACAAUGGGCCGCCAACCCGUAAGGGGGAGCUAAUCCCAUCAAACCACCCCCCAGUUCAGAUUGAGGGCUGCAACUCGCCCUCAUGAAGCAGGAAUCGCUAGUAAUCGCGGAUCAGCCUCGCCGCGGUGAAUACGUUCUCGGGUUUUGUACACACCGCCCGUCACGUCAAGGGAGCCGAUAAUACC
This 1375-nucleotide ribosomal RNA is filed under the name uncultured bacterium. RNAcentral's name for it is "partial 16S ribosomal RNA". It matches the Rfam family "Bacterial small subunit ribosomal RNA". The record is from RNAcentral.